CCUACGGGAGGCAGCAGUGGGGAAUAUUGCACAAUGGGCGAAAGCCUGAUGCAGCAACGCCGCGUGAGUGAUGAAGGCCUUCGGGUUGUAAAGCUCUGUCUUUUGGGACGAUAAUGACGGUACCAAAGGAGGAAGCCACGGCUAACUACGUGCCAGCAGCCGCGGUAAUACGUAGGGGCAAGCGUUGUCCGGAUUUACUGGGCGUAAAGGAUGCGUAGGUGGAUAUUUAAGUGGGAUGUGAAAUACCCGAGCUCAACUUGGGUGCUGCAUUCCAAACUGGAUAUCUAGAGUGCAGGAGAGGUAAGUGGAAUUCCUAGUGUAGCGGUGAAAUGCGUAGAGAUUAGGAAGAACACCAGUGGCGAAGGCGACUUCCUGGACUGUAACUGACACUGAGGCAUGAAAGCGUGGGGAGCAAACAGGAUUAGAUACCCUGGUAGUCCACGCCGUAAACGAUGGGUACUAGGUGUAGGAGGGUCCAACCUUCU
RNAcentral lists this ribosomal RNA (485 nucleotides) under uncultured bacterium. RNAcentral's name for it is "bacterial SSU rRNA". It matches the Rfam family "Bacterial small subunit ribosomal RNA", at positions 338 to 841 of the family's 1533-position model. The record is from RNAcentral.